This is an unclassified non-coding RNA of Nomascus leucogenys (northern white-cheeked gibbon), 88 nucleotides long. It matches the Rfam family "Y RNA". From Rfam's summary of the family: Y RNAs are components of the Ro ribonucleoprotein particle (Ro RNP), in association with Ro60 and La proteins. The Y RNAs and Ro60 and La proteins are well conserved, but the function of the Ro RNP is not known. In humans the RNA component can be one of four small RNAs -- hY1, hY3, hY4 and hY5. Lineage: Eukaryota; Metazoa; Chordata; Mammalia; Primates; Hylobatidae. The record is from Ensembl.
GGCUGGUGUAUGUGCAGUGCUGUUUGCCACUGAUUGAUCACAAUCAGAUACAGGUUUCUUUGUUCCAUCUCCACUUGACUAGCCUUAA